This 508-nucleotide ribosomal RNA is filed under the name uncultured bacterium. Its description in RNAcentral is "bacterial SSU rRNA". It matches the Rfam family "Bacterial small subunit ribosomal RNA", at positions 57 to 507 of the family's 1533-position model. The record is from RNAcentral.
GCAAGUCGAGCGGUAAGGCUUUACACUUAGUAUUUGAUCAAUGUAACCUCGGUUACGAGAGCGAUCCAUUAUUGAACCCGGCUGGGGGAUUAGUGGUGAGUGAGAUCGAGUAUCAAGUGUAGAGUACACGAGCGGCGGACGGGUGAGUAACGCGUGGGAAUCUACCCUAAACUGAGGGAUAAGCACCGGAAACGGUGUCUAAUACCGCAUAUGGUCUUCGGAUUAAAGCUUCGGCGGUUUAGGAAGAGCCCGCGUAAGAUUAGCUAGUUGGUGAGGUAAUGGCUCACCAAGGCGACGAUCUUUAACUGGUUUGAGAGGAUGAUCAGUCACACUGGAACUGAGACACGGUCCAGACUCCUACGGGAGGCAGCAGUAAGGAAUUUUCCACAAUGGGCGAAAGCCUGAUGGAGCAACGCCGCGUGCAGGAUGAAGGCCCUAGGGUUGUAAACUGCUUUUAUAUGUGACGAAUAUGACGGUAGCAUAUGAAUAAGGAUCGGCUAACUCCGUG